CUGCCAUGGAGCCCCAGCGGCUACACACUCCACUCACUCACACCUCUCAGGGCCCUGCACGUUCCCACAGCCCUCAGGGUGUACGUGCUGUAGGUGUGGCUGUGCCCCAGAGUGCCAGCUGAUGAAGACGGAGCGGCCCCGGCCCAACACCUUCAUCAUCCGCUGCCUGCAGUGGACCACUGUCAUUGAACGCACCUUCCACGUGGAGACUCCUGAGGAGCGGGAGGAGUGGACAACCGCCAUCCAGACGGUGGCCGACGGCCUCAAGAAGCAGGAGGAGGAGGAGAUGGACUUCCGGUCGGGCUCACCCAGUGACAACUCAGGGGCUGAAGAGAUGGAGGUGUCCCUGGCCAAGCCCAAGCACCGCGUGACCAUGAAUGAGUUUGAGUACCUGAAGCUGCUGGGCAAGGGCACUUUUGGGAAGGUGAUCCUGGUGAAGGAGAAGGCUACAGGGCGCUACUACGCCAUGAAGAUCCUCAAGAAGGAAGUCAUCGUGGCCAAGGUGAGGCCGGGGCGGUGGGGCAGGGUGCAGACGAGGGUGCGGGGCGGCAGCUCACCCAGCCCUGCCUUACAGGACGAGGUGGCCCACACACUCACGGAGAACCGUGUCCUGCAGAACUCCAGGCACCCCUUCCUCACGGCCCUGAAGUACUCUUUCCAGACCCACGACCGCCUCUGCUUCGUCAUGGAGUACGCCAACGGGGGCGAGCUGUUCUUCCACCUGUCCCGGGAGCGUGUGUUCUCUGAGGACCGGGCCCGCUUCUAUGGCGCUGAGAUCGUGUCAGCCCUGGACUACCUGCACUCGGAGAAGAACGUGGUGUACCGGGACCUCAAGGUGCGCUGGUGGGCAGGCGGCGGGGCAGGGCCCCGGGGGCCUGGUGGCACUGACCUGAGGCCACCUUUCCCCUAGCUGGAGAACCUCAUGCUGGACAAGGACGGGCACAUUAAGAUCACAGACUUCGGGCUGUGCAAGGAGGGGAUCAAGGAUGGUGCUACCAUGAAGACCUUCUGCGGCACACCCGAGUACCUGGCCCCUGAGGUGCUGGAGGACAAUGACUACGGCCGUGCGGUGGACUGGUGGGGGCUGGGCGUGGUCAUGUACGAGAUGAUGUGCGGCCGCCUGCCCUUCUACAACCAGGACCAUGAGAAGCUUUUUGAGCUCAUCCUCAUGGAGGAGAUCCGCUUCCCGCGCACGCUUGGUCCCGAGGCCAAGUCCUUGCUCUCGGGGCUGCUCAAGAAGGACCCCAAGCAGAGGCUUGGCGGGGGUUCCGAGGACGCCAAGGAGAUCAUGCAGCAUCGCUUCUUUGCCGGCAUCGUGUGGCAGCAUGUGUACGAGAAGAAGCUCAGCCCGCCCUUCAAGCCCCAGGUCACAUCGGAGACCGACACCAGGUAUUUUGACGAGGAGUUCACGGCCCAGAUGAUCACCAUCACACCACCUGACCAAGACGACAGCAUGGAGUGUGUGGACAGCGAGCGCAGGCCCCACUUCCCCCAGUUCUCCUACUCGGCCAGCGGCACGGCCUGAGGCGGCGGUGGACUGCGCUGGACGGUAGCUUGGAGGGAUGGAGAGGCGACCUCGUGCCAUGAUCUGUAUUUAAUGGUUUUUAUUUCUCGGGUGCAUUUGAGAGAAGCCACGCCGUCCUCCUGAGCCCAGGUGGAAAGACGUUUUUGUGCUGUGGGCAGCACCCUCCCCCGCAGCGGGGUAGGGAAG
Molecule: small RNA, 1711 nt
Filed under: Pongo abelii (Sumatran orangutan)
Lineage: Eukaryota; Metazoa; Chordata; Mammalia; Primates; Hominidae
Description: processed transcript
Source: RNAcentral